GAUGAACGCUAGCGGCAGGCUUAAUACAUGCAAGUCGAGGGGGAUUAACUGGGUAGCAAUACUCGGUUAUGAGACCGGCAAACGGGUGCGGAACACGUACGCAACCUUCCCAAAACUGGUGAAUAGCCCUCCGAAAGGAGGAUUAAUACACCGUAACAUAACGAAGAGGCAUCUCUUUGUUAUUAUAGCUCCGGCGGUUUUGGAUGGGCGUGCGCCUGAUUAGGUAGUUGGCGGGGUAACGGCCCACCAAGCCUGCGAUCAGUAACUGGUGUGAGAGCACGACCAGUCACACGGGCACUGAGACACGGGCCCGACUCCUACGGGAGGCAGCAAGUAAGGAAUAUUGGUCAAUGGACGAAAGUCUG
Molecule: ribosomal RNA, 365 nt
Filed under: uncultured bacterium
Lineage: Bacteria
Description: bacterial SSU rRNA
Rfam family: Bacterial small subunit ribosomal RNA
Source: RNAcentral